This is an RNA transcript of Panicum hallii, 3401 nucleotides long. It is a transcript of the gene named protein WHAT'S THIS FACTOR 1 homolog, with no coding region annotated. NCBI's taxonomy places the organism in Eukaryota, Viridiplantae, Streptophyta, Magnoliopsida, Poales, Poaceae. The record is from RefSeq and is a predicted model, not a curated record. The transcript is spliced from 3 exons.
UAAGCAAGCCCAUUCAUAUAAACAGGCCCACGGUCCUAAAUAAAGCCCGUGUCGAGAAAAGGAAAAAGCCCACGAACGCGAUUUCUCGACCCAUUCGGGAUGCUCGACCCAUCCCGGCAGCAUCCGCCGCCGUCCCCCGUCGGCGAGCAUGGCGCGGUGGUCGUCCCCUAAGGAUCCCGCCCUGGAGGCCGCGCUCCGGCGCAACCGUCGGUGGGUCGUGAACAACCAGAUCAAGCGGCUCCUCCUCCGCUUCCCGUCCCGCACGGCGCCCGUGCGCUUCCUCCAGUCCCGCUUCAAGACGCUCGACCUCAUGGGCCGCGCCGCCAACUGGCUCGGCAAGUAUCCCUCCUGCUUCGAGGUCUUCUCCGCCGACGCCGAGGGGGGCAGCGGCGAGCAGGAGCCUUACUUCGGCUUCACCAAGCGGAUGGCGGCGCUCGUCGACGCCGAGGAGGCGGCCGUCGCGGCCUCCGAACCGGCGAUGGCUGACCGCCUCGCGCGGGUGCUCAUGCUCGCCCGCGGCCGCCGCCUCCAGGUCUCUAAGCUCUCCGCGCUGCGGGGCCCGCUCGGCCUCCCGGACGACUAUCUCCUCCGCCUCCUCCCCGCCCACACCGACCUUUUCCGCCUCACCAACCCGUACCCUCACCGCCGGAACGCAGCCGAGCUGGAGCUUAUCCGGUGGGCGCCCUCGCUCGCCGUCUCUGCCGUUGAGGCCACCGCGGCCGCGAACGACUCCGCCCCGCGGUUCACCUGCUCGCUGCCCGCCUCCUGGACCAAGUCGCACGCCAAGAUGGAGGAAUUUAACUCCACGCCUUACAUCUCGCCCUACUCGGAGGAAUGGGCGGUGCCGGGCACGGACGCCGAGGCCGAGAAGCGAGCGGUGGCCGUGGCGCACGAGAUCCUCUCACUCACGCUGUGGAGAAAGAUGUCAAUUCUGAAGCUGGAGCAUUUCAGGAGGGAGUUUGGGCUGCCGGAGGACACGGCGAGGAUGCUGCUCCGGCACCCUUGCCUCUUCUAUGUGUCGAACAGAUACAAGAUUCACACGGUGGUGCUGCGUGAGGGUUAUGAGGGGUCGGAGCUGAGGGAGAAGGAUCCUGUGGUGGCGGCCAAGGAUCGGCUCGGGGAGCUUAUGCAGGAGGGGCUGCAAGAGUACAAUCAACGAAGGCGUGCGGCGAAUGUGGAGAAGAAGAGGAGGAGAGGGGAGAUUGACGUGAAGAAAGAGGAAGAAAAGGUGGAAGAUGAGGAAGCGGCACGGCUAGAAAGUGCAGAGAAGAGGGAGGAGAGGAGACGGUUUUACAAGGUGUUGUUCGAUGAUGGCAAUCGGUGAUUGUCAUAAGUUUUUCUCUGUUGAUCUUCAGAGGAAGGCUGGCAAACUAUCUGCAAAUGAAAACGGUCAACCUGUACAGGGAAUGGAAUUUGUUAACUGCGAAGCAGAAUGUGUGACUGAAGAUCUGCAAAGUGGUAUAAUUUUGAUCUAUCACAGAGAGUAAGAGGUUGCAGAACAUGUUGCUGAGAGAAUGUAUUCAUGGAUUGACAAUGGUUAUGAUGGGAUUCUUAGGGGCUCGCAAGUGAGAUAUUGGUGCAGCCUGGAGUGGUUCCGGGUCAGAGAGAAUGGUGUUCAUGAGCUGCAAAUGUUGCUGUUGACGUAUUACUGAAUGAAUGCAUAUGAACAAUGCAAGGCUGGCUGAUCUUUCAGCAGAACAAUAAUUUUACCUUAUGAGCUGUUCAUUCUUGCAUAGCAAAUAUUUGAAUGUAAGAUCCUGAACUUCAGUAAGCAAUCAGUCAGGAGGGAGAAUACCUUUGGCCAUAUUGAAGCCGCGCUUCUCGAGCUCUGUGUACUCCUGGCACAGCGCGCAGGUGUCGCACCAGAAGUGGACACAGCAGUCCAAGCAUGGCGAUUCUUGUAAGUUGUAUUGUGCUCGCAUUGAGGAGCGUUUGCUACAAGUAUACAGCCACUGGCAACCUAUGGACAGUAGCAGAACAUACAGGGUCCCGUUCAUGCAGCACGCUGCAAAUAAGUAGGAGAGUUAUAGAUUGAUGGUUUGUAUGAGUGCACAAAGAGAAGAGGAUGCGGAGAACACCUACAUGUGGAGCCCCUGUCCACAACCUCAGCUACACGGCCAAAUGUAACACAGGGGCACCAGCAAGUCAAGCAACCUGCAACAUCGGGAAAGAAAUGAAAUAUGGAUCGUUCCGAAUCACAUGUGCAAGAAGUGUGAGAAGAACCAAGAAGGUGAACCGCAUACAGGUGCCGACAUCUCCGAAGCAGCUGCAGAGCCCAACAGACCACUCCCCUGACAUGUUGUUGAUAGGCUGAGUAGAUUGUGGUUUGUGCAAGACGGUAAAACGAGGCUUCUGGCUGUGUGUUUUGAGGCAAUGGUACACUUGAUCCUCUAUGGAUUAUAUAGCACUAACAACGCGUAUCAGUAUGACUCAUUACUAAUAGUAUGAACACACUACAAAGCUAAUUGCUUUGAUGGCCUCUCUCAGAGCAGAGUUUUGUUCUUUUCUUGGCUGUUGCACUGAAAUAUUGUAUGCUAUUUUGUGUUUUUGCAGGUUUUGCCUUGAACCGGUCGUCCCGAUGAUCGUCCAAUUGGCAUGUUCUACCUUGAACCAUUCCUUCUGAAAUCCCUAUGCCGAUCCUUUGUUGAGGACUCGGAUCAUUUAGGAGUUUUCAGUUUGGCGGUAACUUUUCCUCCUUUCUUAUAAAAAAAACUUUCAUUCCUCCUCGUUAAUGUUCCCACCAGACUGGCUGGAUGGAGGGGGAAAAGAUGGAAGGUUUCCGUGUCAUCUCGAUGCUAAAGAUGCCAACGGUAAAGAGGAGAUUGUCACGUUGUGGCUUGCUGGAGAGUCUGAUAGCUGCAGGUUUUCCGGCUUCUCGCUGAUAAAGUAGAGAUUGCUGCCGUAUGGCAGUGCCCCCACACGGCUGCUAGUAUAUUCAAGGCCAGUUGAUGCUAACUGCUGACCAGUUCGCUCUGUUUCCGAGUUGCAGAAAUGACGCAGUUCGUGAGCGACAAGAGGUGGCCAUGUCUUGUGAUUGAAGCAAUGCAUCUGGUUUAGUUUGAGUUGAAAGAAUUACAAUAUGGUGUACGUGUAUCCCUUCAUUUCGGGCUCGAUUGCUCCACUACCGAUAAAAAAAUCCGCCUAUUUUUUUUUAUGUUUUACUAAGCUGCCUAGUUGCAGAAUUGGCACGGUUCAUGAUCCAACGGAGCCAGCGACACCGUGCCAUGGCUCCUGAUUGAAGAGAUGGAAAUGACAGAGCCGUUCGUAAACGGCUUUCUCUGCAGCCUUGAUAAACUCGGGCGUACCUUUGAAUUUCAGUCACCUUCCACUUCUAUACUUCAAAUACAUCUCCAACAUAUUACUCAUACCUCAUACUUUAAAUACACUCUCUUUGUUACCAA